CCCACCUGCUUACCUGGCCAAUUGUUCGAUUACCUCUUAUGAAGAGCUCAAGUUGCAAACACUAAGACCUGAUUAACCAAUAUUAAGUCAAUAGGUCUUCCACUGUAGUAGAGCUGCUGAGGUCUUUCUGAUGUUGAUUUGUCUCGGCUGGACACAGUGGGCAAGUUGCAUCGGGGGGCUAGACCUCUCUAUAGACAUGAGAUGUUGUAGGGUAAAGGUGGGGUUGGGCACCAAUAACUGUUAGGUGAGGACCCAAUGACGACUUUAUUCCUACGGUUAUACGGUGGGUCAGACUUAACUAAAAAAUGGGACCAAUAACUGUUAGGUGAGGUCUUCAUGGCUUAGAGACCAAGAAGCACUGCAACAUGCUUGAGAAGCAUUGUACAAGAGUUGUACAUUCAUCAAUUUAUGUGUCAUCAAUAAC
This 424-nucleotide long non-coding RNA is filed under the name Phoenix dactylifera (date palm). Its description in RNAcentral is "long non-coding RNA (PDAC_LNC018038)". Lineage: Eukaryota; Viridiplantae; Streptophyta; Magnoliopsida; Arecales; Arecaceae. The record is from RNAcentral.